Molecule: non-coding RNA, 73 nt
Organism: Parelaphostrongylus tenuis
Lineage: Eukaryota; Metazoa; Nematoda; Chromadorea; Rhabditida; Metastrongylidae
Source: the annotation of a GenBank genome assembly
GCCUCUGUAGUGCAUUUGAAUAGCACGCACCCUCGGAAAGGGUGGAAUACGGGUUCGAUUUCCGCCUGAGGUU